UACGUAGGGGGCGAGCGUUGUCCGGAUUUAUUGGGCGUAAAGAGCUCGUAGGCGGUUUGUCGCGUCUGCUGUGAAAACUCGGGGCUUAACUCCGGGCCUGCAGUGGGUACGGGCAGACUAGAGUGCGGUAGGGGAGACUGGAAUUCCUGGUGUAGCGGUGAAAUGCGCAGAUAUCAGGAGGAACACCGGUGGCGAAGGCGGGUCUCUGGGCCGUAACUGACGCUGAGGAGCGAAAGCGUGGGGAGCGAACAGG
RNAcentral lists this ribosomal RNA (253 nucleotides) under uncultured bacterium. RNAcentral's name for it is "partial 16S ribosomal RNA". It matches the Rfam family "Bacterial small subunit ribosomal RNA", at positions 524 to 776 of the family's 1533-position model. The record is from RNAcentral.